This 448-nucleotide ribosomal RNA is filed under the name Microbacterium sp. RNAcentral's name for it is "bacterial SSU rRNA". It matches the Rfam family "Bacterial small subunit ribosomal RNA", at positions 659 to 1105 of the family's 1533-position model. Lineage: Bacteria; Bacillati; Actinomycetota; Actinomycetes; Micrococcales; Microbacteriaceae. The record is from RNAcentral.
GAUUGGAAUUCCUGGUGUAGCGGUGGAAUGCGCAGAUAUCAGGAGGAACACCGAUGGCGAAGGCAGAUCUCUGGGCCGUAACUGACGCUGAGGAGCGAAAGGGUGGGGAGCAAACAGGCUUAGAUACCCUGGUAGUCCACCCCGUAAACGUUGGGAACUAGUUGUGGGGACCAUUCCACGGUUUCCGUGACGCAGCUAACGCAUUAAGUUCCCCGCCUGGGGAGUACGGCCGCAAGGCUAAAACUCAAAGGAAUUGACGGGGACCCGCACAAGCGGCGGAGCAUGCGGAUUAAUUCGAUGCAACGCGAAGAACCUUACCAAGGCUUGACAUAUACGAGAACGGGCCAGAAAUGGUCAACUCUUUGGACACUCGUAAACAGGUGGUGCAUGGUUGUCGUCAGCUCGUGUCGUGAGAUGUUGGGUUAAGUCCCGCAACGAGCGCAACCCU